CAAUACAACUUUUAACAACGGAUCUCUUGGCUCUCCCAUCGAUGAAGAACGCAGCGAAAUGCGAUAAGUAAUGUGAAUUGCAGAAUUCAGUGAAUCAUCGAAUUUUUGAACGCACCUUGCGCUCCCUGGUAUUCCGGGGAGCACGCCUGUUCGAGUGUCGUGAAAUUCUCAAGCUGGGAUGUUUUCUUGGCUUGGUGUUGGGCUUUGCAGUUCCUUUGAUUGGGAUAGCUGGCCUCAAAAGUAUUAGCUGGCUUUCAUGUGGGGAUUGGUUUGACUAGCGUGAUAUAAUCUGACCGCUGAGGACAUCUUG
Molecule: ribosomal RNA, 310 nt
Filed under: Clavulina sp. AY5090611
Lineage: Eukaryota; Fungi; Basidiomycota; Agaricomycetes; Cantharellales; Hydnaceae
Description: 5.8S ribosomal RNA
Rfam family: 5.8S ribosomal RNA (bases 7-160)
Source: RNAcentral